Brassica oleracea var. oleracea is the source of this 485-nucleotide long non-coding RNA. RefSeq lists it as uncharacterized. NCBI's taxonomy places the organism in Eukaryota, Viridiplantae, Streptophyta, Magnoliopsida, Brassicales, Brassicaceae. The transcript has 6 exons. The record is from RefSeq and is a predicted model, not a curated record.
AUGAGAAAGUGUUUGCGGAUGCUUGUUGGGCCCUCUCUUAUCUUUCUGAUGGAACCAAUGACAAAAUCCAAUCUGCAUCCGUCUCUUGUUCCUGCUCUUCCUAGUAUUAUUGGUAACAUCGUCACUGGAGAUGAUGCACAGACACAGUAUGUAGAUUUAGUCAUGAUGCACUCCUUAGCCUUUUGAGCCUUCUGACUCACAACCAUAACAAGAGCAUUAAAAAGGAAGCUUGCUGGACAAUCUCGAUCAUCACUGCUGGAAAGAGGACCAGGCUUCUGUAUGUGAAGCUUGGUUUGAUUUGCCGUCUCGUCAGUCUCCUGACCAGAUCAAGAUUAUCACGGUGGGUCUAGAAGGAUUGAAAGAGGAAGCCGAGACAUUUACCACCUGGUGGUAAUGAUGCAGCCGCAAUCGCCAGGUGGAUUCAAACCAAUAACUCUCAUACUCCUAAGUCAUUGUACCUUUUGCGUGUGUGGGAUCAAGAGCAG